CUGCUUAUUUAAUAUUCAUGCAUUGGUGUCCAGGGUUUCUUCGAGCACAUCUUUGCGGUGUGGCCAGUCUCCACGCUCUUUGAGCUGAACGGGAGCGUCCACGAGUGGUGGUUCAGAUGGAAGCUGGACCGAUUUGUGGUGAUACACGGCAUGUUGUUUGCCUUCCUCUACCUGGUGCUUCAGAAGCGCAUGGUGCUGUUUGAGGGCAAAGGAGACGCUCUCUUCUCUCCCAAGACCUCCAACGUGCUCCUCUUCCUCUCUGUCGUCUCCUUCAUUACUUACUCCAUAUGGGCCAGCAGUUGCAAAACCAAAACCGAGUGCAACGAGAUGCAUCCUUACAUCUCUGUGGUGCAGGUAGAUUCUUUUGUCCGUCCUAUUUUCGUGUCAGAGGUACAGUAUAUUUUGAUGUUCUGUGGUUAUUAAACCAAUGUUUGUCUUGAGAAAUAUUUCAUUGUCACAUUACAGGAUUAAAUGACUGCAAAAACAAGGGAGUUGCCUUAAUUCAUUGCUAAAGAUAGUUAUGGCACUACCACUGGGGACACUGGUGAAGUUGUGCAAUAGAUAACUUCAUUAAGAACCCUGAAACUUGACGUAGCGAUUGUGAAUCACUCUUACUUGAGUGUUAUAGGACUGUGUAUCAGAACGCCGCUGCUCGUGUCCUCACUAACAUUAACGGCCCGUCCACACAGCGGCGUGCG
Molecule: long non-coding RNA, 698 nt
Organism: Notothenia coriiceps (black rockcod)
Lineage: Eukaryota; Metazoa; Chordata; Actinopteri; Perciformes; Nototheniidae
Exons: 3
Source: RefSeq, a predicted model, not a curated record